AACGCCAGAUCCUUUAACCCAAUGAGCAAGACCAGGGAUCGAACCUGCAUCCUCAUGGAUACUAGGGGGUUUGUUACCACUGAGCCACAAUGGGAACUCCCUGACUGGUCUUUUCUCGUGAACUGUACCGAGUGUGUGCUUCUCUCAGAAGGCACAAGCUCACUGAGGUAGCUCAAGGCUGAGGCACUUGAGGGAUUUUCACCCUUCUAGAAAAUGUGUUUGGAGGUGAGCGACCCCCUGCUGCCCCCCCACACUUGUAUGAACAUGUUCUUGUGAUGGUCACAUGGACGUUUACUUAGCAGCUCAUGCUGAUCUAGGACAAAUGGCUAAGUACUAACUCUACCCUUGAUGCUCCGCUGGUUGUUCAGUUUUAGGUCAUUGGAAUGAACGGCAUGUGACAAUCAGCCUUUGAAACCUGAGGGAGGGCGCCUUCUGACUUGAAAAUGCCCUGUGGUGAUGAGCAGACUGCAGGCAAUCAGCAGGUAUAAUGCAUCAGAGCACAAAAUGGACGGCUUUACUGCAGCACAAGGAAGCAAAGUAGUUAUUUAGAAAAGUUGCACCAUACUGGUACAAGAAAAGCUAGGCCUUUUCCAGGGAUUACCUAGGGGAAGUGCCUGCUGUAUCAGAGAAAACUUUUAGAGAUCUCUGUAGGGGGCAGGGAGGAAGGUUUGCUGACUAACAAAUACUUAACACCCAGCCUUGCCUUAGGCAGAUAUGCAGCAGGUCAUCCCUCUGUACCUUCCCUUUCUGACCAUUUUCUUGACUUCCUUUCUGGCUUUCAUAUCCCACCUCACCACCAUCCGUGCUACAGAAGCAGCAUUGGGUGGCACAUGGGAUCUCUUUGAGACUCAGGAGUCACUUCAGCUUCCAGAUCAGAGGAAAAUGAAGACCAGCAAUCUCCCCCUGAAGAUGACACUCAUUGACAGAGACUACAAUCUAAUGGAGACCGUCAACCCUAUAGAAGAUUCCAGAGUCAAGAUUAGUACACAGAUGAGGAAGACCAACACUCCAAAAGAUAGCGAACUCAAUCAAGUGGAUGAACUAUCACCCAAGCAAGAUAAAUAGAGCAAGCAAAGCAGGAAUUAAGAAUAUGCAUAAGUAGAUUUUUCCAAUAGAUGGGUGGGGAUAGAGCAGUCACAAACCAACCAACUAGAUGUCAUGGAGAUUUAAACUUGGUCCUUGUAAUAAAAAACUGAAUAAGCAGAUGAAACAGAUUUUUUUCUGAAAUUUAAUUUUACUGUAAUAAAGACUAAUGUAUGCCUUAUAACCUAGGGACUAGUGAUUGUUCAUAAGUUUAGUAGUUCACUUUUUUUUGGAAAGCACAUAACAAUAUUCACAUAAGACAUUAUAGAAAGUAUUUUGAAGAAUGAAAAGUUUUCCAUAAUCCUUUUCAAAAGGCUUGGUCUAUUUUGAAAAAUUGAUAAUGGAAAGCAAAAUUGAAAGAAAGAAAAAUGUUUUUACCCCUGAAUACAUAAGAAACACUUGCCGCUAUUUGUAUUUUAAGUAUCUAGAGCAAAAUGGGCCGAAUUGUUUAAAGGCAGCCAGUAAUAGUUUGUAUAAGGACUUGCUUUAUUUAAUUUAGCACCAUCUCAAAUUAGAGUAAUAAGAUUUAGUCUGGUUUCUCCCAGCCUCUCAUAUCGCCCCACUCCUACCAAGCCACAGCAUAUAAGCACACAUCUUCCUAAUCCUACCUAAGGAAUCUAAAAUGAUUAUUUAAAAAUGGCUGCUCGCAUUAUUCACACUGGCAAGAUUUUUUUCCCCUUAAGCUAGAAUGUGGAUGAUGGCUGAUAGGUAGGAGCUUCUUUGAUCAGGAAUAAAGAACAUCAUCUUUAGCAAACUCAAUUUCCUGGUCCUUGCUAACCUGUUAUACAGGUUUAUUGCUACAUCCGUUUACUAAUUAUGACUGCUAUUUUUGUCAAGGAGAUUUCCCACUAGGCCUGACUGAUCUAUUUCUAAAUCCUAAUGGCAAAGAAUAUGUAUUUUAUGUAGUGUCAUAAGUUUUCUGUUUUACUUAUUCUUCUUAUUGUGAUACUUUGUUACUCAUCAAAACAUAGUGAUCAACAAGAGAACUGGCAGGUAGAUCCUAAAGCAUACAUUUCUUAACCUGAAUAACAUCUGCAAACAUAAGACAUCAACUAUGUUUUCCAUGAAAGAAAAUGCAUUCAGGUUUGGUGCUUAUACAAGAAUUUAUAUUCCAAUGUGAUUUCUAACAAAUCAUAACUCUUGUGAACAUGUCUUUUCAGAAGAAAAUACGUCCUAUGAAAGUAAUAUUUUCCUAAACGUUGAUACAUUUUUUUAUAGUGAAUGGAAAAUUUUGAGUAAACUGAAGUUAUGUUUAACAAAAUUAACAUAGCCUGACUGGUUUCUUCAUUUAAAGGCAGAGGUACAUUUGCAUUCUUCAGUGGAUCUGUAAAUUCAGUUAUUUUUUUCUGGAAUUUUAUACAGAUAGAUAGCAUCUCACACAACCAUGUCCCCUGUGUUAAAAAUGUCUUUUUUGUCAUUGGGUUAUGCAGAAGUUUCUGAUGUGACACUUUCUCCAAAUUGUUAUAAUGUAAUUUUUUACUUUUCCAGAAAACUGUGAAACCUUAGCAGUCACUUAUUCUUACUAAACAAAAGUUAGAUUACUACUAAUUGCUCUUUUUACUUUUGGUCUCAAAGAAUUUUUUAAAGUUUAGACAUCUCUGAUGUUUUUGAAUUGCACACCCAUAGAAGACAACUAGAGAAAACACACUAGACAAUUUCAAAAGAGAAUUCUUUUUUUUUUAUUUUUUAUUUUCCCACUGUACAGCAAGGGGGUCAGGUUAUCCUUACAUGUAUACAUUACAAUUGUAUUUUUUCCCCCACCCUUUCUUCUGUUGCAUCGUGAGUAUCUAGACAAAGUUCUCAAUGCUAUUCAGCAGGAUCUCCUUGUAAAUCUAUUCUAAGCUGUGUUGAUAAGCCCAAACUCCCGAUCCCUCCCACUCCCUCCCCCUCCCAUCAGGCAGCCACAAGUCUCUUCUCCAAGUCCAUGAUUUUCUUUUCUGAGGAGAUGUUCAUUUGUGCUGGAUAUUAGAUUCCAGUUAUAAGUGAUAUCA
This 3074-nucleotide long non-coding RNA is filed under the name Sus scrofa (pig). RNAcentral describes it as "lncRNA (ENSSSCG00060005279.1)". Lineage: Eukaryota; Metazoa; Chordata; Mammalia; Artiodactyla; Suidae. The record is from RNAcentral.